AGGUCAGUCAAAGUAGAGAGAAUUAUAGCAGCAUAGUAUAUGGCACCUUCAUACCACCAUCCAACACAGUGGAAGUAGAAAGCUUCACUUAUGAAGAUAGAAUUAUCUGGCUUAACUAAUUUCAAAUGGAAGCAGGAAUAAUCAAGGAAAUUGCCACAGCCACUCCAGCCUUCAACAACUACCACCCUAAUCAUUCAGUGACUAUUAACAUCACGGCAAGAUCCUUCACCAGCAAAAAGAUCAACAAGAAGGCUCUAAUGAUGAUUAGAAUUUUUUAGCAAUAAAGCAUUUUAAAUUGUUAUGCA
RNAcentral lists this long non-coding RNA (305 nucleotides) under Monodelphis domestica (gray short-tailed opossum). RNAcentral describes it as "lncRNA (ENSMODG00000030931.2)". Lineage: Eukaryota; Metazoa; Chordata; Mammalia; Didelphimorphia; Didelphidae. The record is from RNAcentral.